UUUUUCUUUUUCUAUUUUGAGUUUAUUUCUAAACUCAAGGCCACAGAUCUCUCUGAGUGAAAGAAGCCACAAACUCCUUUCAUGCCUUGCAGAAUCGUGGACAAUUUGGCUUUGAGAUGGGGUCAUAUAUGAACGAACAUCAGACAGGUGGCAGCUGUCAUGACGUCCUUGCACUCAAGAUUAGCAUGAACCACGAAACUGAAGGGUGUAUCCGAUGGACAGUGGCCAGUGACUUUGCGAUGACUCAAUGCAACAGCUGUUUAAUCGCUUUUGGACCAAACUCAACAACUUUGCUGGAGGAAAAGUUGAAAUGAGGCUUUCUUGGGCGAGUUUUGAGAGAGGAGAGGCAAGAGGAAAGAAAAGCUUAACAGGACCGAGGGGAAAGGGCGUGCGAGCUUUUCAUUCAGCCCAAACAUAAUAAAGAAGCCUCCCGUGCUCUCGGAGACAUGUGGUUGCGUUCUAAGGGACAUCUGCAGAAAGACGGUCUUGGGGGGAACAAGCGCCUUCCCUGAAGCCCAGCAACGUCUCCGGAGCGAGCGGGUUUGCGCGAGCAGAUUCAAUAAGCCCCAACCGCGCUUGGCUGGGGCGCAAACCUAAUCCGGCAGCCCAUAUUGUUGCUCGGGAGGUCUGCAGCCAAACCGACUCCUUGUAAAAAUAAAUACUC
Molecule: long non-coding RNA, 664 nt
Organism: Meriones unguiculatus (Mongolian gerbil)
Lineage: Eukaryota; Metazoa; Chordata; Mammalia; Rodentia; Muridae
Exons: 3
Source: RefSeq, a predicted model, not a curated record